AUCCAGCCGACGAGUCCAAAAUAGGACGAAACGUACAUCCUGGAU
This 45-nucleotide non-coding RNA is filed under the name Schistosoma mattheei. The record is from RNAcentral. Lineage: Eukaryota; Metazoa; Platyhelminthes; Trematoda; Strigeidida; Schistosomatidae.